This 1230-nucleotide ribosomal RNA is filed under the name metagenome. RNAcentral describes it as "bacterial LSU rRNA". It matches the Rfam family "Bacterial large subunit ribosomal RNA", at positions 1715 to 2925 of the family's 2925-position model. The record is from RNAcentral.
GGGCAAAAUGGCACCGUAACUUCGGGAGAAGGUGCGCCUCUUGGUGUGGUCACGUGCGUGACUGAGCAUCGAGGGGUCGCAGUAACCUGGCCGCUGCGACUGUUUAUCAAAAACACAGCACUCUGCAAACACGAAAGUGGACGUAUAGGGUGUGACGCCUGCCCGGUGCUGGAAGGUUAAUUGAUGGGGUCAGCCGCAAGGCGAAGCUCUUGAUCGAAGCCCCAGUAAACGGCGGCCGUAACAAUAACGGUCCUAAGGUAGCGAAAUUCCUUGUCGGGUAAGUUCCGACCUGCACGAAUGGCGUAACGACAGCGGCGCUGUCUCCACCCGAGACUCAGUGAAAUUGAAAUCUCUGUGAAGAUGCAGCGUUCCCGCGGCAAGACGGAAAGACCCCGUGAACCUUUACUAUAGCUUUACACUGAACGUUGAGUUCUUCUGUGUAGGAUAGGUGGGAGGCUACGAAACCAGGACGCUAGUUCUGGUGGAGCCAUCCUUGAAGUACCACCCUGAAGUGCUUGACGUUCUAACCUAGGUCCGUAAUCCGGAUCGGGGACCGUGUAUGGUGGGUAGUUUGACUGGGGCGGUCUCCUCCCAAAGAGUAACGGAGGAGCACGAAGGUACGCUCAGCGCGGUCGGACAUCGCGCACUGUGUGCAAAGGCAUAAGCGUGCUUGACUGCGAGAUCGACGGAUCAAGCAGGUACGAAAGUAGGUCUUAGUGAUCCGGUGGUUCUGUAUGGAAGGGCCAUCGCUCAACGGAUAAAAGGUACUCCGGGGAUAACAGGCUGAUACCGCCCAAGAGUUCAUAUCGACGGCGGUGUUUGGCACCUCGAUGUCGGCUCAUCACAUCCUGGGGCUGUAGCCGGUCCCAAGGGUAUGGCUGUUCGCCAUUUAAAGUGGUACGCGAGCUGGGUUCAGAACGUCGUGAGACAGUUCGGUCCCUAUCUGUCGUGGGCGUUGGAGAUUUGAGGGGGGCUGCUCCUAGUACGAGAGGACCGGAGUGGACGUUCCGCUGGUGUUCGGGUUGUCAAGCCCAUGGCAUUGCCCGGUAGCUACGAACGGAAGUGAUAACCGCUGAAAGCAUCUAAGCGGGAAGCACGCCCCAAGAUGAGAUCUCCCGAGAGCUUGACUCUCCUAAAGGCACCAUCAAGACUAGGUGGUUGAUAGGCACGGUGUGGAAGUGCAGCAAUGCAUUGAGCUUACGUGUACUAAUGAGCCGUGAGGCUUGACCA